Non-coding RNA from Chiloscyllium plagiosum (whitespotted bambooshark), 1418 nucleotides. Lineage: Eukaryota; Metazoa; Chordata; Chondrichthyes; Orectolobiformes; Hemiscylliidae. The record is from RefSeq and is a predicted model, not a curated record.
GGCCAUCUCUGCCAAGGUGGGAAGUGGAUGCAAUUCCAAAAUGUCCUUGAACCAAUCGACUUGCUCAGCCAGAAGGCAAUGAAGAGUUUGCAAAGGAUUAGGAAUCACGUGCAGAGCAGAGCGGUUGAUCCUCCUGAUCAAGUACCUAUCUCUAUCUUAAAGACAUUAUGACAGCUGUCUGCAGUAAUGAGUUCCACAGAUUCCCCACAGUCUGGCUGAAGAAAUUGUGGAUCUGCUCCAUGUGGCGUCUAACCAAGGUUUUGUAUAACUGCAGCAACUCUUCUCCAUCCCUGUACUCCAGUCCUCUCGAUGUAAAGGACAGCCUUCCAUUAGCUUUCUUCAGGCAAUGAAUGUCAGAAAUGAAAAGAAAUACAGAAAUGGUUGGAGAAACUCAGCAGGGACAGAUAUUAUUUGCCACCUGGGGACUGUCUGACUGCUGUUGAAGACAACUUUCCAUCUUUUCUUUUGACCCUUUAGUUUUGAGCUGUGCUGGAGCCGUGUACUCUUCAGUGAAGAACACAGGGAUACAGGAUGGCAACUAUUAUUUUGUUUAAAAACCUCAAGAUCCUCGAACAAGGGGCGUACUUUGAGAUGCAAAGGCUUUCCGUUUAUCUGAGGGAGGCCAUUGCAAUGGGUGUGACUCAACUUGGAAUUUGUAGGGUAGACCCUGGGAUCCAUCUGAGGAAGAUAGAACUAUAUUGAUUCUUAAUGAUUUUAUUCCUUAGAGAGAUAUAUAUGGUCAGAGUCUUCCCUGAUUGAGCCAUUCCAAGUAUCUCAGUCUCAAGUCAGGAGUGUGAUGGAAUGCUCCCCACUUGCCUGGAUGGUUGCAGCUCCAACAAUAUUCGAAAAGCUCAACAUCAUUGACGCAAAAAGCAGUCCCCACUUAACUGGAACCACAUCCACAAGCAUCCACUCCCUCUACUACCAAUGCUUACCAGCAGCAAUACCAAGAUGUACUGCGAAAAUACACCAGAGAUCCUCGGGCAACACCUUCAAAAUCCAUGACCACUUCCAUCUAGAAGUACAAGUGCAGCAGAUACAUGGAAACACCCACCCUCUACAAGUUCCCUUUUGGGCCUCUCAGUGUUCUGACUUCGAAAUAUAACACUAUUUCUUCAGAAUCAUUGGGUUAAAACCCUGGAAUUCCCUCCCUCAGGGCAAUGCGCUUCUAUCCAUAGCACAUGCAGCGGUUCAAGAAAGCAGCUUAUCCCUACCUUCUCAAGUAGGCAACUAGGGAUAAGUUGGGCAAUAAGUGCAGGGUCCAGUGAGUGAUGCCCAUGUGUCAUAAGUGAUUAAUAAUAAAAAAAAUUGUAAAUUACCCCAGGGCCUCCACUUUCCCUAUGUGAGCUUGUUCUGGGAGGGUGUGCGCAAACUUUGUCGUGAAUGUUGAUGCAAAAUACAUAUUCGAUGUUAUUUGA